RNA transcript from Arachis stenosperma, 2373 nucleotides. It is a transcript of the gene named tetraspanin-10-like, with no coding region annotated. The transcript has 12 exons. Lineage: Eukaryota; Viridiplantae; Streptophyta; Magnoliopsida; Fabales; Fabaceae. The record is from RefSeq and is a predicted model, not a curated record.
AGGUGAUAGUUGAAACGUGUAUAGAUAAAGAAAGGAUGAAAUCGGUGAUAAUGACAUGUACCAAUAGAGUGGAAUAGUGGCUGCAAAGUGCAAAAACUGCAUAUUCUUUUGUGUCGUGUCGUACCGUAGCGUGUUCCAUUCGUGGCGUGCAGCGUGCGGCGCAUAUUCAUCGACCCAUCAAAUUUCAAGACUGACUUCCUCACUUCUCCUUCCUUUGACAACAAACAAUGGGUGUCGGAACUAGCACCUUCGUUACCAGAUGGAUCAACUUCCUCACCAUGGUUUUAGCCAUCGUUGUCAUAAUAUUUGGGGUGUGGAUGAGCAUGCAUCAUGAUGGGUGCAGAAAGUCUCUCACUUUACCUGUGUUAGCCCUUGGAGCAGUUAUUUUCUUAAUAUCCAUAGUCGGUUUUUUGGGCGCCCUGAAAAAUAACUCCAUACUGUUGUGGAUUUAUCUGAUCUUGCUGUUCUUUGUCUUGGUGGGAAUCUUGGUGUUCACUGUGUUGGUGUUCAUUGUGACUAAUGAUGGAUCAGGUCAUAGUGUGACUGGCUUGAGGUACAAGGAGUAUCAACUUCAAGAUUAUAGCUCUUGGUUUCUCAAAGAGUUGAACAAUUCUCACAACUGGGAGCGACUUAGGGUUUGUCUUGUUAAAUCUGAUGACUGCAAUAAACUAUCCAAAAAAUAUAAGACUCUCAAAGAAUAUAAAUUAGCUAAGUUGAGCCCUGUCGAGGCUGGUUGCUGCCGACCACCUUCCCAAUGUGGGUUUCCCGCUGUAAAUUCCUCCUACUAUGACUUGACAUUUCAUCCGGCUAGUGCUAACAAAGAUUGCAAGCGAUACAAAAAUUCCGGAGCUAUCAAAUGUUAUGACUGUGAUUCUUGCAAGUAAGCAUGUCCAGGGCUGGAGUGGCACAAUACAUGAAAAUUGAGUGGAGAGUUGUAGCAAUAUUCAAUGUUGUGCUAUUUGUUGUGUUGUGUAUUGUAUACUUUGUGGGAUGCUGUGCAAGACGAAAUGCUGCCAGGGGACAUUCUAAAGCGUGAAGACUUGAAUAUUAUCAUAUUAUGUUGUUGAUAUCUCCAAUAUUAUUCUUUUAGAGUAUAUACCCAUUUUGGUCCUCAAAGAAUUUCAGACUGGACACUUUAGUCCCCAACUAAAAUUAAUUACUCGAUUGGUCCCUAACAAUUAACUCUGUCAGUCACUUAGGUCCUUUACUCCGUUAAUUCUAACAGAGGACAAAAUAGUCCCUGACAACUCUAACAGGGGACAAAAUGGUCCCUGACCUCCUCUGUUCGGAAACGACACUGUUCUCUCCCAUUUCCAUCAUAUCUCGCAUAACACUAACAGUCUAACACUAUAACUUCAAACUACACAAUGCACACUCUAUAAAUUUAAUGUCCACAAGAAAAAAAAUUUUCAACUUAUUCUCAACCAAUUCAUACUCAGGAAACUAAUGCUUAUGUCUUUCAACUAGUUGUCGUCUUCGAUGGAUCCCAUGAAUCCAGACAACAAGUCUGAUUUGUUAACGUCUUCCAGCUUCUUCUUCGAACCAAUGUUCAGUAAUCGCUUCAGUUUCCAUAUGAGCGGCAACGGCGACAUUGCUCGUUGUAAUAGCUUGGAUGCGAGGUCGAAGCUGUCUGUCAACUUGGACUCUGGGAAAGAAGGAAUGAAGCAUUCGGUGUCUAUUUCAAAUGAGAAUUUGCAUAUGAUGUCGAAGGAGAAUCUUCUCAUGAUGUCCUAAUGUCUAACAGUCUAUAUUGCUUGCUGGAGAGUGGAGAAAGGCGUGCCCUUGGAAUAGUUGUGGAACUUGGUCUUGAGGAUGUCGCGGACGUUGUCAGGGUUGGAGGUGAUGUUAUCAAAGACGUGCAAGUGGAUGCUUUUGGUGGGUGAAGUGCAGAGGAGGUGGAUGUACCAGUCACAAAGAUUUAGGAAGUGUGUGGUCCAUGACAUGUUGAGGUAGGUGCGACACGUGUGACAAUUACACCAUGGCUUAAUCUUGGAGCUAAAGAGGAGGAAGGAAGAGAUGGAAAAGAAGAUUGUGAAGGUGAAGAAGGAGAGUAUGAAUGUUAGGAUUAUGCGAGAUAUGAUAAAAAUUGGGGAAGAACAGUGUCGUUUUCGAAUAAAGGGAUCAGGGAUCAUUUUGUCCCUUAUUAGAGUUGUCAGAGAUCAUUUUGUCCCAUGUUAAGAGUUUUCAGGGACCAUUUUGUCUUCCGUUAGAGUUGACGAAACCAAGGACCUAAGUGACUGACGGAAUUAAUUGUUAGGGACCAAUCGAGUAAUUAAUUUUAGUUGGGGACUAAAAUUUCUAGUUUGAAAUUCUUUGAGGACCAAAAUGGGUAUAUACUCUAUUAUUAUUGAAAUAUCUAUCAACUAUUCUCAA